GAUGAACGCUGGCGGCGUGCCUAAUACAUGCAAGUCGAGCGAACAGAUAAGGAGCUUGCUCCUUUGACGUUAGCGGCGGACGGGUGAGUAACACGUGGGUAACCUACCUAUAAGACUGGGAUAACUUCGGGAAACCGGAGCUAAUACCGGAUAACAUUUGGAACCGCAUGGUUCUAAAGUGAAAGAUGGUUUUGCUAUCACUUAUAGAUGGACCCGCGCCGUAUUAGCUAGUUGGUAAGGUAACGGCUUACCAAGGCGACGAUACGUAGCCGACCUGAGAGAGUGAUCGGCCACACUGGAACUGAGACACGGUCCAGACUCCUACGGGAGGCAGCAGUAGGGAAUCUUCCGCAAUGGGCGAAAGCCUGACGGAGCAACGCCGCGUGAGUGAUGAAGGGUUUCGGCUCGUAAAACUCUGUUAUUAGGGAAGAACAAACGUGUAAGUAACUGUGCACGUCUUGACGGUGCCUAAUCAGAAAGCCACGGCUAACUACGUG
This 497-nucleotide ribosomal RNA is filed under the name uncultured bacterium. RNAcentral's name for it is "partial 16S ribosomal RNA". It matches the Rfam family "Bacterial small subunit ribosomal RNA", at positions 28 to 507 of the family's 1533-position model. The record is from RNAcentral.